AUGAACGCUGGCGGCGUGACUAAUACAUGCAAGUCGAGCGAACAGACGAGGAGCUUGCUCCUCUGACGUUAGCGGCGGACGGGUGAGUAACACGUGGAUAACCUACCUAUAAGACUGGGAUAACUUCGGGAAACCGGAGCUAAUACCGGAUAAUAUAUUGAACCGCAUGGUUCAAUAGUGAAAGACGGUUUUGCUGUCACUUAUAGAUGGAUCCGCGCCGCAUUAGCUAGUUGGUAAGGUAACGGCUUACCAAGGCGACGAUGCGUAGCCGACCUGAGAGGGUGAUCGGCCACACUGGAACUGAGACACGGUCCAGACUCCUACGGGAGGCAGCAGUAGGGAAUCUUCCGCAAAGGGCGAAAGCCUGACGGAGCAACGCCGCGUGAGUGAUGAAGGUCUUCGGAUCGUAAAACUCUGUUAUUAGGGAAGAACAAAUGUGUAAGUAACUAUGCACGUCUUGACGGUACCUAAUCAGAAAGCCACGGCUAACUACGUG
Molecule: ribosomal RNA, 496 nt
Filed under: uncultured bacterium
Lineage: Bacteria
Description: partial 16S ribosomal RNA
Rfam family: Bacterial small subunit ribosomal RNA
Source: RNAcentral